Molecule: ribosomal RNA, 202 nt
Filed under: Pestalotiopsis funerea
Lineage: Eukaryota; Fungi; Ascomycota; Sordariomycetes; Amphisphaeriales; Sporocadaceae
Also listed under: 11 other names
Description: 5.8S ribosomal RNA
Rfam family: 5.8S ribosomal RNA (bases 32-185)
About the family: 5.8S ribosomal RNA (5.8S rRNA) is a component of the large subunit of the eukaryotic ribosome.
Source: RNAcentral
GUAAUCUGAGCGUCUUAUUUUAAUAAGUCAAAACUUUCAACAACGGAUCUCUUGGUUCUGGCAUCGAUGAAGAACGCAGCGAAAUGCGAUAAGUAAUGUGAAUUGCAGAAUUCAGUGAAUCAUCGAAUCUUUGAACGCACAUUGCGCCCAUUAGUAUUCUAGUGGGCAUGCCUGUUCGAGCGUCAUUUCAACCCUUAAGCCU